UUUCCGUAGGUGAACCUGCGGAAGGAUCAUUAAAAAUGAAGCCGGGAAACCGGUCCUUCUAACCCUUGAUUAUCUUAAUUUGUUGCUUUGGUGGGCCGCGCAAGCACCGGCUUCGGCUGGAUCGUGCCCGCCAGAGGACACAACUCUGUAUCAAAUGUCGUCUGAGUACUAUAAAAUAGUUAAAACUCUCAACAACGGAUCUCUUGGUUCUG
Molecule: unclassified non-coding RNA, 212 nt
Filed under: plant metagenome
Description: partial contains small subunit ribosomal RNA, internal transcribed spacer 1, and 5.8S ribosomal RNA
Source: RNAcentral